GUGGGGAAUAUUGGACAAUGGGGGCAACCCUGAUCCAGCCAUGCCGCGUGUGUGAAGAAGGCCUUUUGGUUGUAAAGCACUUUAAGCGAGGAGGAGGCUCUUCUAGUUAAUACCUAGGAUGAGUGGACGUUACUCGCAGAAUAAGCACCGGCUAACUCUGUGCCAGCAGCCGCGGUAAUACAGAGGGUGCGAGCGUUAAUCGGAUUUACUGGGCGUAAAGCGUACGUAGGCGGCUUUUUGAGUCGGAUGUGAAAUCCCUGAGCUUAACUUAGGAAUUGCAUUCGAUACUGGAAAGCUAGAGUAUGGGAGAGGAUGGUAGAAUUCCAGGUGUAGCGGUGAAAUGCGUAGAGAUCUGGAGGAAUACCGAUGGCGAAGGCAGCCAUCUGGCCUAAUACUGACGCUGAGGUACGAAAGCAUGGGGAGCAAACAGGAUUAGAAACCCGUGUAGUCC
RNAcentral lists this ribosomal RNA (451 nucleotides) under uncultured bacterium. RNAcentral's name for it is "partial 16S ribosomal RNA". It matches the Rfam family "Bacterial small subunit ribosomal RNA", at positions 354 to 796 of the family's 1533-position model. The record is from RNAcentral.